This 274-nucleotide long non-coding RNA is filed under the name Gossypium raimondii (Peruvian cotton). Its description in RNAcentral is "long non-coding RNA (GRAI_LNC006139)". Lineage: Eukaryota; Viridiplantae; Streptophyta; Magnoliopsida; Malvales; Malvaceae. The record is from RNAcentral.
AGAAGGUUUACUUGUGCUACUAGAUGACUUAGAUGGUCAGAUGUACUUCUUUGCUUCUUCAGACAUACUACUGUUCCAUUGCUUCCUCACCUUAUUAGGACUAAAAGAAAACUUUUCUUACUGAGAUGUUCUCUCUAUUGAAAUAAAGUCCUUGGUUCACCACCAGAAGCGGUGAACUUCAUGGAACCACUAGGGGGCCAUGAUCAACAAUAGCUCUGAAGAUGUCAUCAGUUGUUGGUCUUAGUGGUGGAGGAGAAUUAUUAGGAGAAAUGGG